GCCCAGACAGUGGUGUUUACAACUAAUUGAUCACAAUUAGUUACAGCUCUCUUUGUUCCCUCUCCAUUUCUACCGCUUCACUUCACUAGCCUUAA
Molecule: small RNA, 95 nt
Filed under: Saimiri boliviensis boliviensis (Bolivian squirrel monkey)
Lineage: Eukaryota; Metazoa; Chordata; Mammalia; Primates; Cebidae
Description: Y RNA (ENSSBOG00000005367.1)
Source: RNAcentral